Small nuclear RNA from Ictidomys tridecemlineatus (thirteen-lined ground squirrel), 106 nucleotides. Lineage: Eukaryota; Metazoa; Chordata; Mammalia; Rodentia; Sciuridae. The record is from Ensembl.
GUACUCACUUCAGCAGCACAUAUACUAAAAUUGGAAUGAUACAGAGAAGAUCAGCACGGCCCUUAUUCAAGGAUGACAUGCAUAUUCUGAAGCGUUCCAUAUUUUU